RNAcentral lists this ribosomal RNA (1234 nucleotides) under soil metagenome. Its description in RNAcentral is "bacterial LSU rRNA". It matches the Rfam family "Bacterial large subunit ribosomal RNA", at positions 1360 to 2569 of the family's 2925-position model. The record is from RNAcentral.
UAAAGUUCGUCUGCUCAGGGUUAGUCGGGACCUAAGGCGAGGCCGAAAGGCGUAGUCGAUGGCCAACAGGUUGAUAUUCCUGUACCACGUCGAGAUCGUUUGACCGAUGGGGGGACGAGGAAGGCUAUGGGAUCCCAGGCGAUGGUUGCCCUGGGGUAAGCGUGUAGGGUGGGACCUAGGCAAAUCCGGGUCCCUUUAACCUGAGGCGCGAUGCCAGCUGGCCCAAGGGCCGGCGAGUCCCGGACGCCAUGCCUCCAAGAAAAGCCUCUAGGGAGAACUCGCGUGCCUGUACCAAAACCGACACAGGUGGGCAAGUAGAGAAUACUAAGGUGAUCGAGAUAACCCUCGUUAAGGAACUCGGCAAAAUUGCCCCGUAACUUCGGGAGAAGGGGCGCCCCAGUAGGGUGAAGCGGCUUGCCCGCAGAGCCCGAGGGGGCCGCAGUGAAUUGGUCCAAGCGACUGUUUACCAAAAACACAGGUCUCUGCUAAGUCGUAAGACGACGUAUAGGGGCUGACGCCUGCCCGGUGCCGGAAGGUUACGUGGAGCUGUUAGGUCUUCGGACCGAAGCAGCGAAGCUAAGCCCCGGUAAACGGCGGCCGUAACUAUAACGGUCCUAAGGUAGCGAAAUUCCUUGUCGGGUAAGUUCCGACCUGCACGAAUGGCGUAACGACUUGGGCGCUGUCUCAACGAGGGGCUCGGUGAAAUUGCAGUCUCGGUGAAGAUGCCGAGUACCCGCGGCUAGACGGAAAGACCCCGUGAACCUUUACUGCAACUUGAUAUUGGAGUCUGGGGUAUCUCGCUCAGGAUAGGUGGGAGACAGUGAACCAGUGGCUUUGGCCACUGGGGAGUCACCCUUGAGAUACCACCCUUGGUAGUCUGGGCUUCUAACACCGCGCCGUGAUCCGGGCGGUGAACAGUGUCAGGUGGGCAGUUUGACUGGGGCGGUCGCCUCCUAAAGAGUAACGGAGGCGCCCAAAGGUUCCCUCAGCACGGUUGGAAAUCGUGCGUAGAGUGUAAAGGCAAUAAGGGAGCUUGACUGCGAGACCGACGGGUCGAGCAGGAACGAAAGUUGGGCUUAGUGAUCCGGCGGUAGCAAGUGGAAGCGCCGUCGCUCAACGGAUAAAAGGUACUCCGGGGAUAACAGGCUUAUCGGGCCCAAGAGUCCACAUCGACGGCCCGGUUUGGCACCUCGAUGUCGGCUCGUCGCAUCCUGGGGCUGGAGUAGGUCCCAAG